Molecule: non-coding RNA, 2814 nt
Organism: Schizosaccharomyces pombe (fission yeast)
Lineage: Eukaryota; Fungi; Ascomycota; Schizosaccharomycetes; Schizosaccharomycetales; Schizosaccharomycetaceae
Source: the annotation of a GenBank genome assembly
CAUUUCUAUUCGGUUAUAUCCUUAAUUUCCGGAAUUAUUGUUAUGCCUGCAUUUGGUUCCUGAGGAACAUCAAUAGUCACAGAAGACGUAUUUGGGUCUUCUGCAUAAUCUAUUUCGUCAAGGAUGUCGCAAAGGACGUCUUCCGCAAUUUGCUCAUUAUAUCUUUCUGAAACAGGCCUGACAUUUGAACCUAAGACAAGCGGACGGUGAGAAAAUUGAGGACCAAAUUGGAAGCGAGCUAUUCCACCUCCAUACAUACUAAUAGAAGGAUAAUAACCAAGAGAACCGUCAUCAAAUGAAUAAUGAUUUGAAUUGAUUGAAUUAGGGGGAUUAAAAUCAAGCAAAUUUUCAAAGGCUGUACCCAUAUAUGAGCCAUUUUUGUAAACUUUUAUAAAUGAUCCAGGAAUGUAAGGUAAGUCUAUAUAACGAUUGUGUUUAGAUGGAAUCAUUAGCUCAUCCAUCAUUUUGCUUGGUACAUAAUCUGGUUGCUCAAAAUAUAGUUGUCCUUUAUAUCUGAUAGGGAUUCUAUCAUGACACGAGGGAAGAGUAGUAUGUUGGGCAAAGGACGGUUUAGGAAGAGAUAUAUGUAAUCCAAUUAUGUCUCCUGUACCAAAAGAAUCCAUAAAGUUUCGUGGACGUGACAUAUGAACUUUUUGACCACCCAAGUCUCUAAGUCCAUACGAAUAAGCAUCAUAGCCAACAGGAGCAUCCAAAGGGGCUUCACGUCUAGAAACUCCAAUUCUGACAUGUGCUCCAUCAUCACCUCCUCCUUUCUCUAUUUUUAUCUCAAAAUACCAUUCACCGGAGGUCAUAAAAACAUUGGACCUUGCCAUCCGAAAUCCCUUUUCCACAGUUGCACACAGAGCAGAGUGAUCAAUAAAGACAGGUGUAGAAAUAUCAUGCCAAUUAAUCCGAGACGUAAACGGUGGAAGUUCAAUCUCUCUGUACAUGACAUUUGGUAAAUCUUUGGCUGCUUCACAAGGACUAUAGCGGAAUCCUCUUCGAUUAAAGGGAAUUUCAGAGAGAGAGAAAAAAUUAGGGGAUGAGGAAUUUGGAUAAAAUAUUGGUAAUUUAGGAACAGUUUCAAAAUCAGAAUCUCUCCAAGGAGGCGGUUUGUAGCGUAUGGGUACGGUGGGAACUUCAUUUUUUUUUAUAGACGCAUUCGACCAAGGAGUAUUAGAUCUCUUCAUCUCCCUUUUGGAAUCCUUGUAAUCUUCCUUAAGCUUACUAGAUGAAGGAGGAGGAGUUUCAGUUUCAACUAAACGUUUUUUUGGUACAGUUGCUCCCACUCGUUGAAAUGGAAAUAUAUAACCUGAACGAAAGUCAAAAAGGUUCGGGUUGUUUAAAGCAUAUUCAGAGUUUUGAUUUCUCAUCGUUUCAUCUUUAGCUCGGUAUGUGUCUCUGUUAGCCACAAGGCAACUACCCAAAGUAGCUUGCCAAGUUUGUACUUUUUCACGAUCGGGACACAAUAGCUGCCAGUGUUCUUCGAUGAAUGGAAUUAAAUCUUCUUUUUUCUUAAAAAAAUAUGUAUUUGCUUGAAAAUUUCUCAUUUUCUCGGCAUUAAAACUAUCGACAGGAACGUCUGGGUUGGUCUCAACAUACCGUUUAACAACAAGAUUGGCCAUUGCAGUAGCAGUGAUAGCCUUCCAUGCGGAUACACCUCGUUCAAAUCGUUCAAAUCCGUCUUCAGUGCAAUGCUUACAGACAAAUUGAUAAUUUGUACUAAAUCCCAUCAUCGACGUACAAGGAGGACUUAAACACGAGAGAUGAAACAUAUUUAAACAAACGCUACACUGAAGAUCAGGGAAUCUUAAAUUUCUAUCUUUUCCACAAUAGCAAUAGGUGUUCUGUUCGUUCAAGGUAUGAGGUUCAUUCCAAUUUAGAGAAGAUGCUUUACUAGGAGAGGAACCGGUUUUAUUCCCCUUUAAGGAAACUCCAUAAUCAUUGGAUCCAUGAGCCAGCAUCUUCGAAAAGUGUCUUGUCUCAAGACUGUGCUUAUAAAAAACGCGUCCAAAAGCUUCUUCACAAGCUUAGCAAUAUGAACAAAUUCUAAAAAAAAACUUUAAAUAACUGCAAAGCUUUAUGUAGUACAGUUUAAAAAAAAUAAAAAGGACAAAAUCACAUCUGCUAUAUACAGACAAAAUUCACGAGAAGGGGUAUGUAAAUUAAUUCUUGGGUUGAAAUUUGUUUAUCUAAUAAUCCUCGAAUAAUUAAGGUUCCACUUAAGAAGAAUUAAUUAACUCUAAAGGAUUUCACAAGUACAUAGGUUCAUUUGCGAAUAUUCAUCGAACACGACUCAGUCACUAGUAUUCACCUACAAACGUGUAGUUCAGAUUAGAUACAAACCUCCUCAGAUCACUUGCUUAUGUACAGAAAAAAAUACACUCACAGGGAGGUAGGAAUUUAAUUUACUCAAUAUGGGUUAAUAAUGGACUUAGUAAUUUCGCAUUAAUUAUGGCGUUGAAAUUUCUUUACGUUUCGGUAAGUUUUUUUACGAACUCAAUAAACGCGUUGCAAAAAGGUAAACAAUAAAGGCGAUUUGGAAGAACUGAGACUUUAUCAGACCAACUUUGAAUUAUUGUAAGAAUCCUAAAAGUUUUAUAAUGCAGAUAAUAUUUACUGAAAAUGAGGGAGCAUAGUGAAGCACAACACUCAACUAUUCGUCUGUAAAGUGUGAUCACUACAAUUAGUAGCCUUCUGAUACUAAUGUAGACCUUAAAAGUAAUUUCGGAAAGUUUAUACUUAUUAGCUUCUAACAGAUUUCGAUUUAAUACAAACUGAGCACAAAAGAUACAGCAUGAAGCCAUUACUCUC